GUGAAUCAUCAAAUCUUUGAACGCAAAUUGCACUCUCUUCGGAGAGUAUGCCUGUUUGAGGGUCAGUAUUAAUAAAAAUCGGUGUGUUGCUUCUUUGUGACGCUCCGGAGUUUGGGUCAUCUUAAUAUCCUUUAGGUUUUAAGAGGCUUAAAAUUGACUUUUUUUGCGCUUUUUAGUUGUCAAUAAUUUUUUUUUUUUUUCGUUUUUCUUUAAUCCCAAAUUUUAUUUAGUUGCG
RNAcentral lists this unclassified non-coding RNA (235 nucleotides) under Glomeraceae sp. RNAcentral's name for it is "partial contains 5.8S ribosomal RNA and internal transcribed spacer 2". The stretch from base 1 to 65 matches the Rfam family "5.8S ribosomal RNA", at positions 84 to 154 of the family's 154-position model. Lineage: Eukaryota; Fungi; Glomeromycota; Glomeromycetes; Glomerales; Glomeraceae. The record is from RNAcentral.